GUCCAACUAAAGUCCCAAAUAGGACGAAACGCGCGUCCUGGAU
Molecule: non-coding RNA, 43 nt
Organism: Schistosoma mansoni
Lineage: Eukaryota; Metazoa; Platyhelminthes; Trematoda; Strigeidida; Schistosomatidae
Source: Rfam